UACAGAGGGUGCGAGCGUUAAUCGGAAUUACUGGGCGUAAAGGGCUCGUAGGCGGCCAACUAAGUCAGACGUGAAAUCCCUCAGCUUAACUGGGGAACUGCGUCUGAUACUGGAUGGCUUGGAUUCGGGAGAGGAAUGCGGAAUUCCAGGUGUAGCGGUGAAAUGCGUAGAUAUCAAGUGGAACACCAGUGGCGAAGGCGAGUCUCUGGACAUUUCCUGACGCUGAGGCACGAAAGCCAGGGGAGCAAACGGG
This 253-nucleotide ribosomal RNA is filed under the name uncultured bacterium. RNAcentral's name for it is "partial 16S ribosomal RNA". It matches the Rfam family "Bacterial small subunit ribosomal RNA", at positions 524 to 776 of the family's 1533-position model. The record is from RNAcentral.